RNAcentral lists this ribosomal RNA (837 nucleotides) under uncultured archaeon. RNAcentral's name for it is "bacterial SSU rRNA". It matches the Rfam family "Archaeal small subunit ribosomal RNA", at positions 71 to 898 of the family's 1478-position model. The record is from RNAcentral.
AGUUCCCAUAGCAAACUGCUCAGUAACACAUGAUCAACUUACCCUAUAGAGAAAAAUAACCUCGGGAAACUGAGGAUAAUGUUUCAUAAUUGAAUUGGCUUGGAAAAGUUUUUCAAUGAAAGGGAUAAAAAAAAUGGUUUUUAUCUGCUAUAGGAUAGGAUCGUGUUCGAUUAUGGUUGUUGGUGAGAUAAUGGCUCACCAAGCCGAUAAUCGAUAGGGGCCGUGAGAGCGGGAGCCCCGAGAUGGGUACUGAGACAACGACCCAGGCCUUACGAGGCGCAGCAGGCGCGGAACCUCCGCAAUACACGAAAGUGUGACGGGGUUACCCAAAGUGUUCAAUAGAACUGUGGUAGGUGAGUAAUGUCCCCUACUAGAAAGGAGAGGGCAAGGCUGGUGCCAGCCGCCGCGGUAAGACCAGCUCUUCAAGUGGUCGGGAUAAUUAUUGGGCUUAAAGUGUCCGUAGCCGGUUUAGUAAGUUCCUGGUAAAAUCGGGUAGCUUAACUAUCUGCAUGCUAGGAAUACUGCUAUACUAGAGGGCGGGAGAGGUCUGAGGUACUACAGGGGUAGGGGUGAAAUCUUAUAAUCCUUGUAGGACCACCAGUGGCGAAGGCGUCAGACUGGAACGCGCCUGACGGUGAGGGACGAAAGCCAGGGGAGCGAACCGGAUUAGAUACCCGGGUAGUCCUGGCCGUAAACGAUGCAUACUAGGUGAUGGUACGGCCAUGAGCCGUAUCAGUGCCGUAGGGAAACCGUUAAGUGUGCCGCCUGGGAAGUACGGUCGCAAGGCUAAAACUUAAAGGAAUUGGCGGGGGAGCACCGGAAUUGGCGGGGGAGCAC